GCCAAUAUAUGUUUUAUAUCCAAAAAUGAACCCAAAAAUGUGAAAUAAGCCCUCAAGGAUAAAUACUUGUUUGAUAGUAUGAAAAAAUAACUUGUUUAGCUCGAAAAUAAUAGAGUACUAGAUUAAAACCCGCGAACCCGUGCGAUGUGCGAUUGUAAAUUAGUUUAUUUGUUUUUAUUAAAUUUUAAAUAUAUUAAGAAAUUA
RNAcentral lists this long non-coding RNA (204 nucleotides) under Lathyrus oleraceus (garden pea). RNAcentral's name for it is "Pisum sativum (pea) long non-coding RNA (PSAT_LNC013405)". Lineage: Eukaryota; Viridiplantae; Streptophyta; Magnoliopsida; Fabales; Fabaceae. The record is from RNAcentral.